Molecule: ribosomal RNA, 493 nt
Filed under: uncultured bacterium
Lineage: Bacteria
Description: partial 16S ribosomal RNA
Rfam family: Bacterial small subunit ribosomal RNA
Source: RNAcentral
AUUGAACGCUGGCGGCAUGCCUUACACAUGCAAGUCGAACGGUAACAGGUUAAGCUGACGAGUGGCGAACGGGUGAGUAAUAUAUCGGAACGUGCCCAGUCGCGGCGGAGAACUGCUCGAAAGAGCAGCUAAUGCCGCAUACGACCUGGGGGUGAAAGCGGGGGAUCGCAAGAACUCGCGCGAUUGGAGCGGCCGAUAUCAGAUUAGGUAGUUGGUGGGGUAAAAGCCUACCAAGCCAACGAUCUGUAGCUGGUCUGAGAGGACGACCAGCCACACUGGGACUGAGACACGGCCCAGACUCCUACGGGAGGCAGCAGUGGGGAAUUUUGGACAAUGGACGCAAGUCUGAUGCAGCCAUGCCGCGUGCGGGAAGAAGGCCUUCGGGUUGUAAACCGCUUUUGUCAGGGAAGAAAAGGUUCUGGUUAAUACCUGGGACUCAUGACGGUACCUGAAGAAUAAGCACCGGCUAACUACGUGCCAGCCGCCGCGGUAA